GCAGAUGCAUCAGGACUGCUCUGUUCUCCUUCACAAAUUCGCAAUCAAAUUCGAUGAUUGCGCUACUUUUGUCAAGAGUCUUGUUUCAGGCUUCCCCUACCUCACUCGCUGUGCCAACAAAACCAGGCAUGUCGAUUGAUUCUUCACUGCAGGUAAAAGGUAAGAAGCAUGAAGAAAUUUUGACAUGGGUUAAAAUUCUUUGCACCAUCAAUUUUUGUUUUUUAUUUUUUUGUUUUGGUUUUGAAAUUAAGAUAUAAUGAUAAUAAUAAUAAUAAUAAUAAUAAUAAAGAAACAGGGAAUUUUGAUUUAGGCUAUUCUUGUUAAUCUUUGAUGGGCAAGAAUGGUGAGAGAGGGCCCUUGUUAAAACAGAAAAUGGUUGAUAGGCGAGACUUACGUUUCAUUUCAAUGUAAUUCGCUUUACAUUUCCUCUGAUUACUUUUUGGGUUUCCAUUGAUUUGAGUAUUUCUCUGCACUGCACAUAAAGUGUAGGCUAUGAAUAAUAUGAUGGAUCAGCAAUGGUUUGAUUGGUUGCUUUUAAGUUGUGAUACUUGUCUUGGUUACUGUCAUUCAAAUGUUUUCAUUUCACAAUCUCCUUAAUUCGAGUUCUAGCACUUCAACUUCCAAUCAUUCGCACUUCAAACCUAUUAAAUCAAAUACAUUAAUUAAAUAAACUCUAGAUAAAAAGUUCUAAAAAACCAAUAUGAGAUUAGAUGAAACCCAACUUCAGUACAGAGGAAUCAAGUCAUGGUGGCAUAGGUAGAUUAUUGUAAAAUUGCCUCUGACCAAUCCUGAAAUUUAAAUAAAACUUGGACCCUUUUUUAUUUUGAUAUUGAAGAAAGGACCAUCCCUGUACAAAUCAC
Molecule: long non-coding RNA, 860 nt
Filed under: Gossypium barbadense (sea-island cotton)
Lineage: Eukaryota; Viridiplantae; Streptophyta; Magnoliopsida; Malvales; Malvaceae
Description: long non-coding RNA (GBAR_LNC011181)
Source: RNAcentral